Molecule: small nucleolar RNA, 82 nt
Filed under: Carlito syrichta (Philippine tarsier)
Lineage: Eukaryota; Metazoa; Chordata; Mammalia; Primates; Tarsiidae
Description: Small nucleolar RNA SNORD115 (ENSTSYG00000034356.1)
Rfam family: Small nucleolar RNA SNORD115
About the family: HBII-52 is a member of the C/D class of snoRNAs, which contain the C (UGAUGA) and D (CUGA) box motifs. HBII-52 is encoded in a tandemly repeated array with another C/D snoRNA, HBII-85, in the Prader-Willi syndrome (PWS) region of chromosome 15.
Source: Rfam by way of RNAcentral
GGGUUUAUGACGAGAACUUUAUAUUGUCUUGAAGAGAAGUGAUGACAUAAAAAUCAUGCUCAGUGAGGUUAUGCUGAAGCCC